GAGGGUGUAGCUCAAGUGGUAGAGUGCAUGCUUAGCAUGCAUGAGGUCCUGGGUUCAAUCCACAGUACCUCCA
RNAcentral lists this transfer RNA (73 nucleotides) under Camelus bactrianus (Bactrian camel). It matches the Rfam family "tRNA". Rfam says of the family: Transfer RNA (tRNA) molecules are approximately 80 nucleotides in length. Their secondary structure includes four short double-helical elements and three loops (D, anti-codon, and T loops). RNAcentral also lists the same sequence under 3 other names. The record is from Rfam by way of RNAcentral. Lineage: Eukaryota; Metazoa; Chordata; Mammalia; Artiodactyla; Camelidae.